UACGAGGGGGGCAAAUGUUGUUCGGAAUCACUGGGCGUAAAGGGAGCGUAGGCGGGCUUUUAAGUUAGGUGUUUAAUCCCGGGGCCCAACCCCGGACAGGCACCUAAAACUGGGAGUCUUGAAUAGUGGAGAGGACGGCGGAAUUGGGGGUGUAGCGGUGGAAUGCGUAGAGAUCCGCAAGAACACCAGUUGCGAAGGCGGCAGUCUGGACACAUAUUGACGCUGAGGCUCGAAAGCAUGGGGAGCAAACAGG
This 253-nucleotide ribosomal RNA is filed under the name uncultured bacterium. RNAcentral describes it as "partial 16S ribosomal RNA". It matches the Rfam family "Bacterial small subunit ribosomal RNA", at positions 524 to 776 of the family's 1533-position model. The record is from RNAcentral.